RNAcentral lists this ribosomal RNA (249 nucleotides) under Triticum aestivum (bread wheat). RNAcentral describes it as "partial small subunit ribosomal RNA". Lineage: Eukaryota; Viridiplantae; Streptophyta; Magnoliopsida; Poales; Poaceae. The record is from RNAcentral.
AUGAGGACUACCCAAAUGUUGCUCCUGGCCAUCGCCAUCCUCGUGCUAGCAUCAGAUUUUGUAGAUGCGCUAAUGGAGGCAUCAGCGGACAUUAGUAUUGAUCCCGUCACAUGUACAUCAAAAAUCAUGCCAUCGCCAACGCCCUGUGAAAACCAAAGUUGCAACAAGACAUGUGUUGAAGGUCUAGGGUACCUCGCAGCUGGAUGCGCAAACGAUCAUAAUUGGUGUAGCAGCGAGGUUGUUCACUGA